RNAcentral lists this ribosomal RNA (138 nucleotides) under uncultured bacterium. Its description in RNAcentral is "partial 16S ribosomal RNA". It matches the Rfam family "Bacterial small subunit ribosomal RNA", at positions 355 to 509 of the family's 1533-position model. The record is from RNAcentral.
UAAGGGAUAUUGGUCAAUGGGGGAAACCCUGAACCAGCAACGCCGCGUGAGGGAAGACGGUUUUCGGAUUGUAAACCUCUGGUCCUCUGUGAAGAUGAUGACGGUAGCAGAGGAGGAAGCUCCGGCUAACUACGUGCC